GUGCUCACUUUGGCAGCACAUAUACUAAAAUUGGAACGAUACAGAGAAGAUCAGCAUGGCCCCUGCACACAGAUGACAGCAAAUUCAUGAAGCGUUUCGUAUUUAA
This 106-nucleotide small nuclear RNA is filed under the name Peromyscus maniculatus bairdii (prairie deer mouse). Lineage: Eukaryota; Metazoa; Chordata; Mammalia; Rodentia; Cricetidae. The record is from RNAcentral.